Molecule: ribosomal RNA, 301 nt
Filed under: uncultured bacterium
Lineage: Bacteria
Description: partial 16S ribosomal RNA
Rfam family: Bacterial small subunit ribosomal RNA
Source: RNAcentral
CAGUCGCCGCGGUAAAACGAAGGGGGCUAGCGUUGUUCGGAUUUACUGGGCGUAAAGCGCACGUAGGCGGACUUUUAAGUCAGGGGUGAAAUCCCGGGGCUCAACCCCGGAACUGCCUUUGAUACUGGAAGUCUUGAGUAUGGUAGAGGUGAGUGGAAUUCCGAGUGUAGAGGUGAAAUUCGUAGAUAUUCGGAGGAACACCAGUGGCGAAGGCGGCUCACUGGACCAUUACUGACGCUGAGGUGCGAAAGCGUGGGGAGCAAACAGGAUUAGAUACCCGCGUAGUCCCUGUCUCUUAUAC